GAUGAACGCUGGCGGCGUGCCUAAUACAUGCAAGUCGAGCGAACAGACGAGGAGCUUGCUCCUCUGACGUUAGCGGCGGACGGGUGAGUAACACGUGGAUAACCUACCUAUAAGACUGGGAUACUUCGGGAAACCGGAGCCAAUACCGGAUAAUAUAUUGAACCGCAUGGUUCAAUAGUGAAAGACGGUUUUGCUGUCACUUAUAGAUGGAUCCGCGCCGCAUUAGCUAGUUGGUAAGGUAACGGCUUACCAAGGCGACGAUGCGUAGCCGACCUGAGAGGGUGAUCGGCCACACUGGAACUGAGACACGGUCCAGACUCCUACGGGAGGCAGCAGUAGGGAAUCUUCCGCAAUGGGCGAAAGCCUGACGGAGCAACGCCGCGUGAGUGAUGAAGGUCUUCGGAUCGUAAAACUCUGUUAUUAGGGAAGAACAAAUGUGUAAGUAACUAUGCACGUCUUGACGGUACCUAAUCAGAAAGCCACGGCUAACUACGUG
RNAcentral lists this ribosomal RNA (496 nucleotides) under uncultured bacterium. RNAcentral describes it as "partial 16S ribosomal RNA". It matches the Rfam family "Bacterial small subunit ribosomal RNA", at positions 28 to 507 of the family's 1533-position model. The record is from RNAcentral.